RNAcentral lists this ribosomal RNA (565 nucleotides) under Echinodera hypocrita. RNAcentral's name for it is "partial 16S ribosomal RNA". It matches the Rfam family "Bacterial large subunit ribosomal RNA", at positions 1802 to 2637 of the family's 2925-position model. Lineage: Eukaryota; Metazoa; Arthropoda; Insecta; Coleoptera; Curculionidae. The record is from RNAcentral.
GUUAUUAAAAACAUGGCUUUUUGAUAAUAAUUUAAGGUCUAACCUGCCCAAUGAUUUAAAUAUUAAAUGGCCGCGGUAUUUUGACCGUGCAAAGGUAGCAUAAUCAUUAGUUUUUUAAUUGAAAGCUUGUAUGAAAGGUUUGAUGAAAAAAUAACUGUCUUUAUUUAAGUUUAUUAGAAAUUUAUUUUUAAGUUAAAAAGCUUAGAUGUCUAUUAAAGACGAGAAGACCCUAUAGAGUUUUAUAUUUUUAUAAAAUUAUUAUAUUUUAGGAUUUUUUAAUAAUUUUAAUAGAAUUAUUUGAUUGGGGUGAUUUAAAAAUUAAUUAAACUUUUUUAUAUAAAUUUACAUUAAUUUAUGGGUUUUUGAUCUUUGUAAAAGAUUAAUAGAUAAAAUUACCUUAGGGAUAACAGCGUAAUUUUUUUUAGAGUUCUUAUCGAAGAAAAAGGUUGCGACCUCGAUGUUGGAUUAAAAUUAAUUAUUGGUGUAGAAGCUAAUAAAUUAGGUCUGUUCGACCUUUAAAUUUUUACAUGAUCUGAGUUUAAACCGGUGUAAGCCAGGUCGGUUU